CGGGUGCCCAGCUCCGGGCGGGCGGCCUCGGCCCUUCUCCCUGUGUGGCCUGGACUCAGUCCCGCUGCGCCCUUGGCGAGUCGGGGAAGGAGGUGGCGGGCGAGGGUGCUCCGGACGAGGCCAGGCAGGGGGAGGCGAACCUGCGACUCGCCGGCCCGUGUCCCCCGCGUCUCCGGAGGCCCGGGGCGCGGGCACCUUCGGUUGAACGGAAGAGGAGCGGGGAGCGAGGGAGGCGGCAGUUUGUGUCUCGGGGCUCUUCCGCCCCUUCUCGCCUCCUCCUAAGACAGACAGACGCCACCCCACCUGGGGCCGAGCGGGAACUGUGGGACCGUGAUUCGGUCCCCAGGUCCAGACGCCCGGCCUCGGGGGAGGACACGGUCCCAGCCCGCGUGGGCACCGCGUGGGACCGGGCACGGGGCUGCCAGGGCUGGGUCCCCUCUGGCCCCGGCCUGGGACACCGCGGGCCUGGGGCGGCGGGCCCCUUUGUGUGACUAAAUUUGGCAAGAAUAUGAAUCCGAGCCAGCCUUUCCACGUGUGCUCCCAGCUCCCAGCUGAGGAGGCCAAGGGUUCUCUUCCGGUGCUCAGGGAAAGCGCCUGACUGACAGCACCGACAUCCAAUGCCCAGGAAUCACGGCAACACCGGCUGGCCAAGCGUGGAGAGGACAAUUUUCCAGAAAACUUUCUCUUCCCCUGUAAAUCUGCCAUCUGGGGCGUGCACGAUCAAAGGUUCCUCAGGAAAUCUACAGCGCGGGGAACACCAUUCCCUCUACAGACUUUGUUUGCAGGCUACUUCCUCAACCGUAUCUUGGUACAUGCAGGUCAGACAGUAGAUCUGCUCAAGCCUGCGCCUGGAGUUUUUAGCAAAAUACCUUCGUGAAGCUUAGCCGUACUCUUAGGCAAAUGUCUCCUCGUUGCACAAGCCAUUCCCCCCAUUUCGGAGAUCUAAAUCCUCAUGAAUAAGAGAAAGGUGAACAACAGCAAGCAGGGCCAUUUCCUGGAAGAAACGUCAGAGAAUCUUCUGGUCAGAACCAUAUCCCAGACCACGGUGUGCUCUUCUGGUGGCAAAGCAUCUCAUGGGCGGAGUCCACAAGCACGGCCCCCUUCACUGUGGCUUUUAAAAGUGACCCAUUGACCCUUUCACCAGAGGCAUAGAGAUUUAAGGAUUCAGCUGACGCCAUCGCCACAGCAAAGGCUGUUUAAAAGGAAAGGUUAACUGUGGUAACUGCUGCUGAAAUUAUUUUGCCAGCAAGAACACCAAAAGUAUAUUCAAAAGGCUCUCAGUGACAUGUUCAUAGAAGUGUAGUUUAUGACUUUGAAAGGCCUGGCUGUUCAAACCAUAGAUUGAUGAAAUCAAUUCUAAUAUAGCCACCCAGGGAAUCACUGUGCAGCUAUGAAAAUGAUGUAUGAUUAUUUUCAAUCCUAUGAAAAAGUAGAGAUGGUGCAUAGUUAAAUGAGAAAAGAACGAAUAUAAUAAAAGAGAGAAUACAAUCUUGGUCUCAUUUUUUAAAAUCUUUCUGUACAUAUUAUUUAUUAGAACAUGCUCACAGGGGCCUUGUCUGUCUUACCUCAGUGUCCCUGGUGUCUAGAAGGAUUCCUGGCACAAAGUGGGACGACAUUCAUAUCUAUUAUUAUAUCUAGAAAGACAGGCACUGAAAUAUUAGCAGUUUACCCCAAAGAAUGG
RNAcentral lists this long non-coding RNA (1681 nucleotides) under Heterocephalus glaber (naked mole-rat). Its description in RNAcentral is "lncRNA (ENSHGLG00100042457.1)". Lineage: Eukaryota; Metazoa; Chordata; Mammalia; Rodentia; Bathyergidae. The record is from RNAcentral.